This 439-nucleotide ribosomal RNA is filed under the name uncultured bacterium. RNAcentral's name for it is "partial 16S ribosomal RNA". It matches the Rfam family "Bacterial small subunit ribosomal RNA", at positions 338 to 795 of the family's 1533-position model. The record is from RNAcentral.
CCUACGGGUGGCAGCAGUGGGGAAUAUUGCACAAUGGGGGAAACCCUGAUGCAGCGACGCCGCGUGAGGGAUGAAGUAUUUCGGUAUGUAAAGCUCUAUCAGCAGGGAAGAAAAUGACGGUACCUGACUAAGAAGCCCCGGCCAACUACGUCCCAGAAGCCGCGGGAAUACGGAGGGGGCAAGCGGUAUCCGGAUUUACUGGGUGGAAAGGGCGCGUAGACGGCGGUGAAAGACAGGUGUGAAAGCCCGGGGCUCAACCCGGGACUGCAUUUGGAACUGGGCUGCUGGAGUGUCGGAGAGGCAGGCGGAAUUCCUAGUGUAGCGGUGAAAUGCGUAGAUAUUAGGAGGAACAUCAGGGGCGAAGGCGGCCUGCUGGACGAUGACUGACGUUGAGGCUCGAAAGCGUGGGGAGCAAACAGGAUUAGAUACCCGUGUAGUC